RNAcentral lists this ribosomal RNA (828 nucleotides) under uncultured bacterium. RNAcentral's name for it is "bacterial SSU rRNA". It matches the Rfam family "Bacterial small subunit ribosomal RNA", at positions 8 to 812 of the family's 1533-position model. The record is from RNAcentral.
AGAGUUUGAUCCUGGCUCAGAACGAACGCUGGCGGCGUGCCUAACACAUGCAAGUCGUACGAGAAAAUCCGCUUCGGCGGGUGAGUAGAGUGGCGCACGGGUGAGUAACGCGUGGAUAAUCUGCCUUUAAGCUGGGAAUAACUCACCGAAAGGUGGGCUAAUACCCGAUAAUGCUAUGGGACUUCGGUUUUAUAGCCAAAGAGAGCCUCUACAUGUAAGCCUUCACUUAAAGAUGAGUCCGCGUACCAUUAGCUAGUUGGUAGGGUAAUGGCCUACCAAGGCGACGAUGGUUAGCUGGUCUGAGAGGAUGAUCAGCCACACUGGAACUGAGACACGGUCCAGACUCCUACGGGAGGCAGCAGUGAGGAAUAUUGCGCAAUGGGGGCAACCCUGACGCAGCAACGCCGCGUGAGUGAGGAAGGUCUUCGGAUCGUAAAGCUCUGUCGGGUGGGAAGAAGUGUGCAUAGGUUAAUAGCUUGUGCACUUGACGGUACCGCCAAAGGAAGCACCGGCUAACUCCGUGCCAGCAGCCGCGGUAAUACGGGGGGUGCGAGCGUUGUUCGGAAUCAUUGGGCGUAAAGAGCGUGUAGGCGGCUAGGCAAGUCAGAUGUGAAAUCCCUGGGCUUAACCCAGGAAGUGCAUUUGAAACUGCUUAGCUUGAGUAAGGAAGAGGGAAGUGGAAUUCCUGGUGUAGAGGUGAAAUUCGUAGAUAUCAGGAGGAACACCGGUGGCGAAGGCGACUUCCUGGUCCUAUACUGACGCUGAGACGCGAGAGCGUGGGGAGCAAACAGGAUUAGAUACCCUGGUAGUCCACGCCGUAAACGAUGU